GCCAGACUCCUACGGGAGGCAGCAGUGGGGGAUAUUGCACAAUGGGGGGAACCCUGAUGCAGCGACGCCGCGUGGGUGAAGGAGUGCUUCGGCAUGUAAAGCCCUAUCGGCAGGGAAGAAGCAAGACGGUACCUGACUAAGGAGCCCCGGCUAACUACGUGCCAGCAGCCGCGGUAAUACGUAGGGGGCAAGCGUUAUCCGGAUUUACUGGGUGUAAAGGGAGCGUAGACGGCAGUGCGAGUCUGGAGUGAAAGGCGGGGGCUCAACCCCCGGACUGCUCUGGAAACUGUACGGCUGGAGUGCAGGAGAGGUAAGUGGAAUUCCUAGUGUAGCGGUGAAAUGCGUAGAUAUUAGGAAGAACACCAGUGGCGAAGGCGGCUUGCUGGACAGUAACUGACGUUGAGGCUCGAAAGCGUGGGGAGCAAACAGGAUUAGAUACCCUCGUACA
This 448-nucleotide ribosomal RNA is filed under the name uncultured bacterium. RNAcentral describes it as "bacterial SSU rRNA". It matches the Rfam family "Bacterial small subunit ribosomal RNA", at positions 330 to 794 of the family's 1533-position model. The record is from RNAcentral.